This 243-nucleotide unclassified non-coding RNA is filed under the name Glomeromycotina sp. RNAcentral describes it as "partial contains small subunit ribosomal RNA, internal transcribed spacer 1, and 5.8S ribosomal RNA". The stretch from base 1 to 47 matches the Rfam family "Eukaryotic small subunit ribosomal RNA", at positions 1785 to 1831 of the family's 1831-position model. The record is from RNAcentral. Lineage: Eukaryota; Fungi; Glomeromycota.
AAAGUCGUAACAAGGUUUCCGUAGGUGAACCUGCGGAAGGAUCAUUAUUAUUUGGGUCGGGUUUACUUCUAAGAACUUGUUUCAGUUGUUGUCCUAGUAUUUAAGAAGUAAACUUUUACCAAAUAAUCCUAUAUUUCUCCUAUAGGAGCAAGAUAAACUUAUAUUUAAAACCCACACUUUGAAUGUACGUAUUUUUGAAUGAUAAAAUAAAGAUCACUUUCAACAACGGAUCUCUUGGCUCUC